GUAAGGAAUAUUGCGCAAUGGAGGCAACUCUGACGCAGCCAUGCCGCGUGCAGGAAGAAGGCGCUACGCGUUGUAAACUGCUUUUAACCGGGAAGAAACCCCAGGACGUGUCCUGGGUUGACGGUACCGGAGGAAUAAGCACCGGCUAACUUCGUGCCAGCAGCCGCGGUAAUACGAAGGGGGCUAGCGUUAUCCGGAUUCAUUGGGUUUAAAGGGUGCGUAGGCGGAGCGUUAAGUCAGUGGUGAAAUCCUGCAGCUUAACUGUAGACUUGCCAUUGAUACUGGCGCUCUUGAGUGCGCUUGAAGUGGGCGGAAUGUGCCGUGUAGCGGUGAAAUGCUUAGAUAUGGCACAGAACACCAAUUGCGAAGGCAGCUCACUAAGGCGAUACUGACGCUGAGGCACGAAAGCGUGGGGAUCGAACAGGAUUAGAUACCCGUGUAGUCC
RNAcentral lists this ribosomal RNA (445 nucleotides) under uncultured bacterium. Its description in RNAcentral is "partial 16S ribosomal RNA". It matches the Rfam family "Bacterial small subunit ribosomal RNA", at positions 354 to 796 of the family's 1533-position model. The record is from RNAcentral.